CAGCAGGAUGAAGGUCAAGCUAAAGACUUUACCCGACGAGCUGAGAGGAGGUGCAUGGCCGUCGCCAGCUCGUGCCGUGAGGUGUCCUGUUAAGUCAGGCAACGAGCGAGACCCUCGCCGCUAGUUGCUGUCCUCUCCCGCAAGGGAGAGGAAGGUAGUUAGCGGGACUGCCGCCGUUCAAGGCGGAGGAAGGAGAGGGCUACGGCAGGUCAGUAUGCCCCGAAACCCCUGGGCCACACGCGGGCUGCAAUGGUAGGGACAGAGGGUGUCCAACUCCGAAAGGAGGAGGUAAACCCUAAACCCUACCCCAGUUGUGAUUGAGGGUUGCAACCCACCCUCAUGAAUAUGGAAUCCCUAGUAACCGCGUGUCACCAUCGCGCGGUGAAUACGUCCCUGCUCCUUGUACACACC
Molecule: ribosomal RNA, 411 nt
Filed under: uncultured crenarchaeote
Lineage: Archaea; Thermoproteati; Thermoproteota
Description: bacterial SSU rRNA
Rfam family: Archaeal small subunit ribosomal RNA
Source: RNAcentral